Molecule: ribosomal RNA, 303 nt
Filed under: Triticum aestivum (bread wheat)
Lineage: Eukaryota; Viridiplantae; Streptophyta; Magnoliopsida; Poales; Poaceae
Description: partial small subunit ribosomal RNA
Source: RNAcentral
AUGCGGGAUAAGCAUAAACGCCAAGAAAAAAGAUCAGAGGCAGUACUAGUACUCCAACUGCUAGUCUGUAUUUUGACUACAGGAAGACCAUGGUGCAGAAUACUAUUCCAUGAGGUUGUCAGACGCGUCCGGCGAUUUAAAAGAUCAGACAAAGUUAACAGUAUAUCUGAGAACUCUUUUCGUCCGACUAUAUCAUCCAAUGUUGGUGCCCGCGUUUAUCUGACAAAUCACCAGGUGUUGUCUUUUCUAUAUAUUCUAUCAACACAUAUUAAAUGGUUUGAGAACAAUUACUCUGGUCUAUGA